Molecule: RNA transcript, 3823 nt
Organism: Aethalodelphis obliquidens (Pacific white-sided dolphin)
Lineage: Eukaryota; Metazoa; Chordata; Mammalia; Artiodactyla; Delphinidae
Gene: UBAP1L
Gene name: ubiquitin associated protein 1 like
Exons: 7
Source: RefSeq, a predicted model, not a curated record
GACGUCAAAGAAUUUGCUACAGCCACCCAACUUAAUCACUUUAAAACCAUUCAUGUUCCUAUGUCCACGUGACUUUCGUGCAAGGAUGUAUCAAGAAGCUUAGCUGAGAUUAUACCAUCUGUUGUAGCAAUUCACUUCUACAAGUUUUGUCCACAGAGAAGCUAUCCUGGGAAUUACAAGGCUAGUACCUCCAGUGCAGUGUUGAACAGAAGAGAUGAUGGGGACAUCUUUGUCUCAUUUCCAAUCUUGGGGGCAGCACGGGCCUUUCCCUUCCUGCCUCUGUGGGGCUCGGGGAAGUCACCACAUAGGAGAGCAGUGAGCCAUUUGAGACCUGAGCCUGGUCCUCAGGAAUUCGCUCUCUCCCUGCCAGCAGGAGGCCUGCCCCAGCCCUGCUCAGCCAUCUCCACCAUCUUCCUCUGACAGAAUGAAUGCCCUGGAUGGUGUCCCCUUCAAGGUGCCCAAGGGCUUUGUGAUAGGCACAGAGCCCCUCCCUGGGCCAGAGCUCAGUGUCCCAGACUGCAGGGAGCUUCUGCUGGGUUCUAUGUAUGACUUCAGCCUGGAGAGGAGGGCACUCUUCUGGGUGGAGGCUGUAGUCCGGGGACCCUGCCAGGUCCAGUGCGAUGCCCCGGGGGCAGCUUCAGCCCCUCCCGCCUGGCUCUUGCUGGUCAGCCCUGAGCAAGGGCUGGAGCCCAUACCUGCCGCAGCGGAAGGUCCUGAGGCUAGACCGCAGGAGCAUCCUGAGGAGGAAGAGGUGGAGGAGAAGGACCAGGAAGAGGAAGAAGCCUUCUCUGCCAUGGAGGAAGAGCCGGAUCCCUGCAGACCCCAGCCCAGCUCCUCGGCGAGCCCCAGCCUGAGCCAACACCGGUGCUCGCUGGAAGUGCUGCGCGGCGUGAGGUCGGAGCUGGCCGGGGCGCGGCGGCGGCUCUCUGAGUGCAGGCUGGCCGCCCGCCCCCGCAGUCUCCUGCACCGCAUCCGCCACCGAGCUCUGAGCCUCUGCCCUGGCACCACGUCACCCCUGGGCCCGGCACUCCCGCUCCCCAGCGCCCCAGUGCCACUCCCGGGCCCCGAGUCAUCGCUCCCCAGCACCCCUGCGCUGCCCCCGCGGCCCUCCACGGCUGGCGACGUGCCCCCGCUGCGGAGCCACAGGCCCGUGGUUGCGUCCCUCAGCCCGCAUACCUGCCUGCCACCUCCUGGGCAGGUGCCCCAGCCUCUCGCCACCCACAGAUUGCACCCUGAUUCUGCUGAUUUGCUGUCCGCCCUGAGCCAGGAGGAGCAAGACCUCAUCGGGCCAGUGGUCGCCCUGGGGUAUCCCUUGCACAGGGCUAUCAUGGCUCUACAGAAGACUGGGCGGCAGAGCCUGAGCCAGGUUCACAGCCCUUCUCCCUUUGAAAGACAAAUACCACAGUAAAUCGUUUUGAAAAGAGAUGAACCACGGAUGCUCCAGGAGGGGGGGCAUCAGGUGAUAGAGACAGGGCACUUGGAAGAAAGAAGGAGAGAGGAAGAGAUACAAAAGAUAAGCUUUGUCCAUCACUCCUUCCCUCCUUCCACAAGGAUCGAUGUGUCUACUGACUGCCUGCAGGACAGGUGUGGGUGGCAUGUGUGAGGGUCCAUAGGCUGGGCCGAGACUUGCCAUGGGGCUCUAGGCACAUCAGGUCCCCUCUUUGAGCCUCACUUUCCCCAUUCACAGAAUGGAGGGGAAUAUGUGUUUAUAAUCAAUAACUGCUGGAGGUCCCAUCCUGGAGUCUGAUGGUGACAUCCUCACCUACUGUGGGGGCUGAGAUAGGCCUGGUAACUGACCAAGAUAGAGAAUCCUUACAAAUGCAGAUUCUCAGGACCUACUCUGCAGAGUCCCAAUCAGUGGAUCUGGAGUGGGCCCAGGGCCCUAUCAUUUUAGAAGAUCUGCAGAUGGUUCUGAUAUGCAUGGUUCUGAUAUGCAGCCUGGCUUGGGUCUACUAGUGUGGACUGAGUCAGAGAUUCUCAACCUUGGCUGCACACAGGAAUCACCUGGAGAGCUGUAAAAGUCCCAGUGCCCAGGCUGCCCCCCUGACCAGUCAUAUCAGGGCCUCUGGAGGUGAGCAUCAGCAGUUUAUGGGUAGUGAUACUGAGGCACCAGUAGUUUUAAGGCUCCCAGGUAGCUACAGUCAGCACCAAGGCUGAGAACCUUUGCUGUCGAUGAACCAAGAGGUGAAGGGAGCAUCCCCCAUCUGCCCUGCCCUUGUUUUCACCUUCGGAAACCCUGUCUACUUUCAAGCCAGCUCAAAGCCCCUCCUCUAGCAGCUAGCCUCCCGAUGGACAAGGCACUGGCCAAGAGGUCAGGUGAUCUGAGCCCUAGUCCUGGGACCUGGGGCAAGCUGCCCGCCCUGCCUAGACUUCAGUUUUCCCAACUGUGCAAGGAGAGCUUGGUUGGGUGGUUUUCAAAAUGUGCCCAGAGCAGGGUCCCUGAGGUGGGGGCACUGGACUCUGGGCUCCCUCCACCUCCUGCCCACAGUUCUCCCAGAGCAGCUUCAACCUUACCCUGUUACUGUUGAAGCCCCCUGGUGCUUGGACAGUUCAGAAGCUAAAACAGUUUGAAAACCAUGAGUCUAUUACGAUCUGUGUUUUCUGCCCAGUUCUGAAGGUCUGCAGAAACCUGACCUGUUUCUCCUCCACUUAUACCCAUAAUUCUAAAUCCUGCUUUGAUCUGCCCGGCACUCAUGUUUUCCUGUAUCUGGUUUAUCGCCCCCACUGAGCUGUAAGCUCCCGGAAGGUAGUUCUUAAUUCAUUUUAUAAACACAGCAUACAUUUAUUGAGCUCCUUCUGCCUGCCUGCCAUGCUGGGUUCUAGGAACACAGUGGUGAACAAGACUGGCACAAGUCUUCCCUCAUGGAACAAAAAGUUAGCGGAUGAGAAAGACAGUAGAGCAAUUACAAAGCUGUAUGUGAGGGGAAGCAUGGGGUGCUGUGGGAGCACCUGGUGGAGAUGGGGGGUGGGGAGAGGCUCCCCAGGGAAGAGGAGUGAGGCUGGCCUUGGCCUUGGAACUGGAUGUGCAGGAGUCUGGGGGUGCUGAGGGAGCAGCUGGGCUGCUGACAGAGGUAAGCUGGCCACUGAAGCUGGGUUGGGAGGCAGCACUUUAUCCUGAGGGCAGAAGUAGCCCCUGAUGACUAAGCAGAGAGUGGCUGGAAGAGAUGUUCUGCCCUGUGGGUCCUCCACUGUCCCCUCCCCUUUCCAGCGCUGGUGCAGGACUGUUGCAGAGAGUGGGGCCCACGGGGUCCUGGAUGGCAAAGAUGUUAUGUGUCUGGCGGUGGGUGGGGUGCACAGCUGUGGGUGGGAGAGGAGGUUGUUUUCUCACAGGUGGGUGCGCACCAGGGAGGGUAAGCAUCCUGGGUGGGUGGUGGGUAGAUACCCGUGUUUGAGCCCUGGCCUAUUCCCCACUUAGGUUCUGGGAACACCUUAGCCCAUCCUGACAGCCCUCUUCCUGGUUUCCAGCCCCCAGCUUGGGACAGUUGGUGAGGCUUUGCUGUCCACCUGUCCCCAGGGGAGGCCUCUGACCCUCUUCUGUUGGCUCAUGGGUCUCUGGGGCCACGUUGUGUGUGGCAGGUUGCCCAGUCAGCCUGGCCCUGAGCUCAGCCUUAACGAGGCCCUUGGGUGCCUCCUCCACCCCAUCUGCUGCCCCUGCCACCCCUCUUAACCUCCUUCCCUCUGUGCCCCUUUCCUGCCCAGUUUCUCAGCUACCUUAGCGCCUGUGACCGGCUAUUGCGACAGGGCUACGAGGAAGGCCUGGUGGAUGAGGCCAUGGAGAUGUUCCAGUUCUCCGAGAGCCAGGCAGGGGAGUUCCUGCGCCUCU